GACGAACGCUGGCGGCGUGCCUAAUACAUGCAAGUAGAACGCACAGUUUAUACCGUAGCUUGCUACACCAUAAACUGUGAGUUGCGAACGGGUGAGUAACGCGUAGGUAACCUGCCUGGUAGCGGGGGAUAACUAUUGGAAACGAUAGCUAAUACCGCAUAAUAUUAAUUAUUGCAUGAUAAUUGAUUGAAAGAUGCAAUUGCAUCACUACCAGAUGGACCUGCGUUGUAUUAGCUAGUAGGUGAGGUAACGGCUCACCUAGGCGACGAUACAUAGCCGACCUGAGAGGGUGAUCGGCCACACUGGGACUGAGAGACGGCCCAGACUCCUACGGGAGGCAGCAGUAGGGAAUCUUCGGCAAUGGACGAAAGUCUGACCGAGCAACGCCGCGUGAGUGAAGAAGGUUUUCGGAUCGUAAAGCUCUGUUGUAAGAGAAGAACGGGUGUGAGAGUGGAAAGUUCACACUGUGACGGUAUCUUACCAGAAAGGGACGGCUAACUACGUG
RNAcentral lists this ribosomal RNA (505 nucleotides) under uncultured bacterium. RNAcentral describes it as "partial 16S ribosomal RNA". It matches the Rfam family "Bacterial small subunit ribosomal RNA", at positions 28 to 507 of the family's 1533-position model. The record is from RNAcentral.